AUUGAACGCUGGCGGCAUGCCUAACACAUGCAAGUCGAACGGCAGCACAGAGGAGCUUGCUCCUUGGGUGGCGAGUGGCGGACGGGUGAGUAAUGCAUCGGGAUCUACCCUGACGUGGGGGAUAACCUCGGGAAACCGGGACUAAUACCGCAUACGUCCUACGGGAGAAAGCGGGGGACCUUCGGGCCUCGCGCGGCAGGACGAACCGAUGUGCGAUUAGCUAGUUGGCGGGGUAAUGGCCCACCAAGGCGACGAUCGCUAGCUGGUCUGAGAGGAUGAUCAGCCACACUGGGACUGAGACACGGCCCAGACUCCUACGGGAGGCAGCAAUGGGGAAUAUUGGACAAUGGGCGCAAGCCUGAUCCAGCAAUGCCGCGUGUGUGAAGAAGGCCUUCGGGUUGUAAAGCACUUUUAUCAGGAGCGAAAUACCACGGGUUAAUACCCUAUGGGGCUGACGGUACCUGAGGAAUAAGCACCGGCUAACUUCGUGCCAGCAGCCGCUGUAAUACGAAGGGUGCAAGCGUUAAUCGGAAUUACUGGGCGUAAAGGGUGCGUAGGCGGUUACUUAAGUCUGUCGUGAAAUCCCCGGGCUCAACCUGGGAAUGGCGAUGGAUACUGGGUGGCUAGAGUGUGUCAGAGGAUGGUGGAAUUCCCGGUGUAGCAGUGAAAUGCGUAGAGAUCGGGAGGAACAUCAGUGGCGAAGGCGGCCAUCUGGGACAACACUGACGCUGAAGCACGAAAGCGUGGGGAGCAAACAGGAUUAGAUACCCUGGUAGUCCACGCCCUAAACGAUGCGAAUUGGAUGUUGGUCUCAACUCGGAGAUCAGUGUCGAAGCUAACGCGUUAAGU
This 849-nucleotide ribosomal RNA is filed under the name uncultured bacterium. RNAcentral's name for it is "bacterial SSU rRNA". It matches the Rfam family "Bacterial small subunit ribosomal RNA", at positions 28 to 865 of the family's 1533-position model. The record is from RNAcentral.